GACGAACGCUGGCGGCGCGCUUAACACAUGCAAGUCGAACGGAAAGGCCUGCUUUCCCUUGUGGAUUGCGGGUACUCGAGUGGCGAACGGGUGAGUAACACGUGAGUGAUCUGCCCCCAACUUGGGUAUAAGCCUGGGAAACUGGGUCUAAUUCCCGAUAGGACUGCAGGGUGGUGCCUGUGGUGGAAAACGAUUUUCUAGUGGUUGGGGAUGAGCUCGCGGCCUAUCAGCUUGUUGGUGGGGUAAUGGCCUACCAAGGCGGCGACGGGUAGCCGGCCUGAGAGGGUGGACGGCCACAUUGGGACUGAGAUACGGCCCAGACUCCUACGGGAGGCAGCAGUGGGGAAUAUUGCACAAUGGGCGGAAGCCUGAUGCAGCGACGCCGCGUGGGGGAUGACGGCCUUCGGGUUGUAAACUCCUUUCGACCGAGAGGAAGCCACCUGGUUGGAAGGGUGGUGACGGUAGUGGUAGAAGAAGCACCGGCUAACUACGUG
RNAcentral lists this ribosomal RNA (494 nucleotides) under uncultured bacterium. RNAcentral describes it as "partial 16S ribosomal RNA". It matches the Rfam family "Bacterial small subunit ribosomal RNA", at positions 28 to 507 of the family's 1533-position model. The record is from RNAcentral.